GUCCUUCAGUUCAUCCCGUUGUCCGCCCGUCCCGUUUGUCCCCUGUGUCCAUCUGUCCGUCCCCAUGUGCCUCCAUCCAUCUCUGUGCCCGUCUGUCUGUCCAUCCUUCGGUCCGUCCGUCUGUCCCUCAAUCCAUCGCCGUGUCCUUCCAUCUGUCCCCACGUCUGUCUGUCCCCGUGUCCUUCCAUCCAUCCCCACGUCCGUCUGUCCUUCCACCCAUCCAUGUCCCCAUGUCUGUCCGUCCGUCUCCACAUCCAUCUGUCCGUCCACCCAUCCAUUCCCCACAUCUGUCCAUCCGUCCCCACGUCCGUCUGUCCAUCCCGGUCGCCUUCAGUCUGUCCCCGCGUCCGUCUGUCCUUCCAUCCCUCCCUCCCCGUGUCCGUCUGUCCUCAUGCCCCCCCCAUCACCUCCGUCCGUCCCCGUGUCCGUCUGUCUGUCCACCUCCAUGUCCACCCGUCCAUCCC
This is a long non-coding RNA of Phasianus colchicus (ring-necked pheasant), 464 nucleotides long. The record is from Ensembl. Lineage: Eukaryota; Metazoa; Chordata; Aves; Galliformes; Phasianidae.